CCAGGCUGUCUCCACCCGAGACUCAGUGAAAUUGAACUCGCUGUGAAGAUGCAGUGUACCCGCGGCAAGACGGAAAGACCCCGUGAACCUUUACUAUAGCUUGACACUGAACAUUGAGCCUUGAUGUGUAGGAUAGGUGGGAGGCUUUGAAGUGUGGACGCCAGUCUGCAUGGAGCCGACCUUGAAAUACCACCCUUUAAUGUUUGAUGUUCUAACGUUGGCCCCUGAUCGGGGUUGCGGACAGUGUCUGGUGGGUAGUUUGACUGGGGCGGUCUCCUCCUAAAGAGUAACGGAGGAGCACGAAGGUUGGCUAAUCCUGGUCGGACAUCAGGAGGUUAGUGCAAUGGCAUAAGCCAGCUUGACUGCGAGCGUGACGGCGCGAGCAGGUGCGAAAGCAGGUCAUAGUGAUCCGGUGGUUCUGAAUGGAAGGGCCAUCGCUCAACGGAUAAAAGGUACUCCGGGGAUAACAGGCUGAUACCGCCCAAGAGUUCAUAUCGACGGCGGUGUUUGGCACCUCGAUGUCGGCUCAUCACAUCCUGGGGCUGAAGUAGGUCCCAAGGGUAUGGCUGUUCGCCAUUUAAAGUGGUACGCGAGCUGGGUUUAGAACGUCGUGAGACAGUUCGGUCCCUAUCUGCCGUGGGCGCUGGAGAACUGAGGGGGGCUGCUCCUAGUACGAGAGGACCGGAGUGGACGCAUCACUGGUGUUCGGGUUGUCAUGCCAAUGGCACUGCCCGGUAGCUAAAUGCGGAAGAGAUAAGUGCUGAAAGCAUCUAAGCACGAAACUUGCCCCG
Molecule: ribosomal RNA, 791 nt
Filed under: Escherichia coli
Lineage: Bacteria; Pseudomonadati; Pseudomonadota; Gammaproteobacteria; Enterobacterales; Enterobacteriaceae
Description: partial 23S ribosomal RNA
Rfam family: Bacterial large subunit ribosomal RNA
Source: RNAcentral